This is a regulatory RNA element of Dialister sp. CAG:588, 97 nucleotides long. It matches the Rfam family "Glycine riboswitch aptamer". From Rfam's summary of the family: This family represents the bacterial glycine riboswitch. Lineage: Bacteria; Bacillati; Bacillota; Negativicutes; Veillonellales; Veillonellaceae. The record is from Rfam.
GGACACAACUCUGGAGAGUCUCGUUAAAUCGAGCGCCGAAGGUGUAAAGGUUACAUAGUAACCCCGAUCUCUCAGGCAAAAGGACAGGGCGGCUCAU